AAUGAACGUUGGCGGCGUGGAUUAGGCAUGCAAGUCGUGCGAGAAGUUGGUUAGCUUGCUAACCGACGGACAGCGGCGAAAGGGAGAGUAACGCGUGGUUACGUGCCCCGAAGACCGGGAUAGUGUUGGGAAACUGGCAGUAAUACCGGAUAAUAUCUUUGGAUCAAAUGGUGUGAUUCCGCUUUGGGAUCGGACCGCGUACUAUUAGCUUGUUGGCGGGGUAAUGGCCCACCAAGGCUCAGAUGGUUACCGGGUGUGAGAGCAUGGCCCGGCUCACUGGGACUGAGACACUGCCCAGACAUCUACGGAUGGCUGCAGUCGAGAAUCUUCGGCAAUGGACGAAAGUCUGACCGAGCGACGCCGCGUGCGGGAUGAAGGCCCUCGGGUUGUAAACCGCUGUCAGUUAGGAGGAAAUCUAUGAGGGCACUCUCUCAUAGUUGACCGAUUUUCAGAGGAAGGACGGGCUAAGUUCGUGCCAGCCGCCGCCGUAACAC
RNAcentral lists this ribosomal RNA (494 nucleotides) under uncultured bacterium. Its description in RNAcentral is "bacterial SSU rRNA". It matches the Rfam family "Bacterial small subunit ribosomal RNA", at positions 29 to 526 of the family's 1533-position model. The record is from RNAcentral.